Molecule: transfer RNA, 93 nt
Filed under: Dipodomys ordii (Ord's kangaroo rat)
Lineage: Eukaryota; Metazoa; Chordata; Mammalia; Rodentia; Heteromyidae
Rfam family: tRNA
About the family: Transfer RNA (tRNA) molecules are approximately 80 nucleotides in length. Their secondary structure includes four short double-helical elements and three loops (D, anti-codon, and T loops). Further hydrogen bonds mediate the characteristic L-shaped molecular structure. tRNAs have two regions of fundamental functional importance: the anti-codon, which is responsible for specific mRNA codon recognition, and the 3' end, to which the tRNAs corresponding amino acid is attached (by aminoacyl-tRNA synthetases). tRNAs cope with the degeneracy of the genetic code in two manners: having more than one tRNA (with a specific anti-codon) for a particular amino acid; and 'wobble' base-pairing, i.e. permitting non-standard base-pairing at the 3rd anti-codon position.
Source: Rfam by way of RNAcentral
GAGUGUAUGGCUCAAAGUGCUAGAGCACCAGCCUGGAGAAAAAAAAAAGCUAACAUAGUAUCCAGGCCCUGGGUUCAAGCCCCAGUACAUGCA